RNAcentral lists this ribosomal RNA (843 nucleotides) under uncultured bacterium. RNAcentral describes it as "bacterial SSU rRNA". It matches the Rfam family "Bacterial small subunit ribosomal RNA", at positions 28 to 883 of the family's 1533-position model. The record is from RNAcentral.
GACGAACGCUGGCGGCGUGCUUAACACAUGCAAGUCGAACGGAAAGGCCCUGCUUGCAGGGUACUCGAGUGGCGAACGGGUGAGUAACACGUGGGUAAUCUGCCCUGCACUCUGGGAUAAGCCUGGGAAACUGGGUCUAAUACCGGAUAUGACCAAUUGCUGAUGGCUUUUGGUGGAAAGUUUUUCGGUGCAGGAUGAGCCCGCGGCCUAUCAGCUUGUUGGUGGGGUAAUGGCCUACCAAGGCGACGACGGGUAGCCGGCCUGAGAGGGUGAUCGGCCACAUUGGGACUGAGAUACGGCCCAGACUCCUACGGGAGGCAGCAGUGGGGAAUAUUGCACAAUGGGCGGAAGCCUGAUGCAGCGACGCCGCGUGAGGGAUGACGGCCUUCGGGUUGUAAACCUCUUUCGGUAGGGACGAAGCGUAAGUGACGGUACCUACAGAAGAAGCACCGGCUAACCACGUGCCAGCAGCCGCGGUAAUACGUAGGGUGCGAGCGUUGUCCGGAAUUACUGGGCGUAAAGAGCUCGUAGGCGGUUUGUCACGUCGUCUGUGAAAUCCUAGGGCUUAACCCUGGACGUGCAGGCGAUACGGGCAGGCUUGAGUGCUACAGGGGAGACUGGAAUUUCUGGUGGAGCGGUGAAAUGCGCAGAUAUCAGGAAGAACACCAAUGGCGAAGGCAGGUCUCUGGGUAGUAACUGACGCUGAGGAGCGAAAGCAUGGGUAGCGAACAGGAUUAGAUACCCUGGUAGUCCAUGCCGUAAACGAUGGGCGCUAGGUGUGGGGGUCCUUCCACGGAUUCCGCGCCGUAGCUAACGCAUUAAGGCGCCCCGCCUGGGGAGUAC